AGUCGAGGGGCAGCAUGACGAUAGCUUGCUAUUGUCGAUGGCGACCGGCGCACGGGUGAGUAACGCGUAUCCAACCUUCCCUUAACUCCGGAAUAGCCCGCUGAAAGGCGGAUUAAUGCCGGAUGCGGUCCAGCGAGGGCAUCUGACCCGGACCAAAGGUUUCUUCCGGUUAAGGAUGGGGAUGCGUCUGAUUAGGUUGUUGGCGGGGUAACGGCCCACCAAGCCAUCGAUCAGUAGGGGUUCUGAGAGGAAGGUCCCCCACAUUGGAACUGAGACACGGUCCAAACUCCUACGGGAGGCAGCAGUGAGGAAUAUUGGUCAAUGGGCGAGAGCCUGAACCAGCCAAGUAGCGUGGAGGAUGACGGCCCUACGGGUUGUAAACUCCUUUUAUCAGGGGAUAAAGUCCACUACGUGUAGUGGUUUGCAGGUACCUGAUGAAUAAGGACCGGCUAAUUCCGUGCCAGCAGCCGCGGUAAUACGGAAGGUCCGGGCGUUAUCCGGAUUUAUUGGGUUUAAAGGGAGCGCAGACGGGCUGUUAAGCGUGACGUGAAAUCCGGGGGCUCAACCUUCGGCUGCGUCGCGAACUGGCGGCCUUGAGUGGACGGUAGGCAGGCGGAAUUCGUGGUGUAGCGGUGAAAUGCUUAGAUAUCACGAAGAACCCCGAUUGCGAAGGCAGCUUGCCGCAGUCUUACUGACGUUCAUGCUC
Molecule: ribosomal RNA, 706 nt
Filed under: uncultured bacterium
Lineage: Bacteria
Description: bacterial SSU rRNA
Rfam family: Bacterial small subunit ribosomal RNA
Source: RNAcentral